Molecule: non-coding RNA, 28 nt
Filed under: Homo sapiens (human)
Lineage: Eukaryota; Metazoa; Chordata; Mammalia; Primates; Hominidae
Source: RNAcentral
UGUGUGCAGGGCUGUACUCUGAGGCGGC